GUUGUCCUCUUCACCAACUCCAUUUACCUCUCAGAAUCACCUGUUCUUCUGGUAUGGCCCUUGUUUUUUCUUCUUCUUAAAAAUCUUCCUAAUUCUUUUACCUUUUUUCCUUCAUUUUGAAUGUUUGGAAUAUGGACUCACGCUUGAAAGCAAUCCUCAUUAUGAGGGUAACCUCAAUUGUCGGUGAUGUCUUCAGUUCCAAGUCAUGUUAAUUUUUACCAGAGGACUAUAAAACCCUAAUCCGAUUUCAUCUUAAUAGUGGUUUAGGGGAAGGGAAUGCGUUUAGGGUUUUCUUUCUUAAUUUUCUUUACAUUAUUUUGUUCAAUUAAGAAAAUUAAUUUUACAAUUCUUUUCAGCACAAUGAAGGUAAAUUAGACAUUAAUAAAUCAAAUACUAGAUUGCAGCAAUAUAUAAAUAUUAAGGAUCAAAGUUGUUAUUAUGCUAAUUUUAAAAGUUACCAAUAGUGAAAAAAAAGAAGAAAAGAUAAAAUUGAAUAGUUAAUGAUUUUUUUUUUGAAUUUUUGCAAUUGAAUAAUAAUAAAAAAAUACUACCAAUUGAAUAAUUAAGUAACUAUUUGGAUCACUACUAUAAAACUUUUAACUUUUUUAUACACCAUAAAUAUUUUAAUUUUUUAUAAAAAUUGUAAUAUUUAUUUAUCUAACCUUGUAAAAAUAAAUAUAAUAUAAAAAAUAUAUUUAAUAAUUCCAGAGUCGACAAUUUUAGUUUUUGAGGGUAAGAUAGUAAAAUUUUAAAUAAAAUUGAGAGUUAUAUAAAAAUUGAAUUCACAUCCCUACACUUACAGUUAUUUUCAUUGAAAAUAAAUUGGAAAGAAAAAGCAAAAAAAAAAAAAAAGUGAAAAUGAAAUUAAAAGAAGAAAAUUUCCCUUUUGUAAAACACACCAAUUACUUGUAUAGCACACCACCUCUCUACACAGCUUUUAUAAUACAAGCUAUAAGGCAAUCACAAAGAAGAAAAAUAAUAACCCAAACUUUUCAUAACAGCCUACCAAAUCAUUACAUACAAAUAUAAAUACAGUAAGUGCUUGUCUUCUUUGCUCCCUUUUAUCUCACCACAAUAUAAAUUUUUACAACCAAAAAUGAAAUCCAAUCCCAAAAGAGCUUUAUCAAAUGCCCCCCAUUCAUCCCUAUCUUGUUUAGGAUAUAAGCUGGGGGCUUCAUCAUGCAGUGGAAGCUCUUAUAUCGGCAUGAGUUCAUCAAGAUUCCGCCUGCGGGGCUUGAACGCAGCAAAGCCAUUUUUUCUAGAAUGAAAAAUAACACUGAGUUAAAAGAGAAAUCUACGAUUGCUACGUUCGCGCAAGCUGUUAUUAUACCAUCAGUUGUAUGCGUGCUAAGUCGGUUAGAGAUUACUUACGGAUUGGGGUUUGUUGGGGUCGGCUCCAGGCUUACCAUGAGUGUCAGCCUUUUCCAGUGACUCCGGUUUGCCACCUGUUUUCUUCUCAUCCCUUGCCUUGUUAAAGAUCACUGUAAAUCCAUCAGCUGAUGCAGGAUCGUUGACAUCCCAUUCACCGAAUUUCGGCAAUGGUCGACCCUGGUCCUGUUGAGCAAAAAGAGAAGUAAAAUGCAUCCGUCAAUAUCCUUGUAACCAAAGUAAGGUAGAUAGACAAAACAUCAAGGCAACAAAAUUAAAGCCUGUCAAGAUUCAUAUCUCGAGUUGCAUGUCAUAACAAUCCAAUAAAAAAUUGUACAGACAAAAGAGCUCCAAGCAUAGAAUUACUUGUCCAAAAUCCAACUAGGAAAGUCCGACAACAAAACUGUUUGCUCUAACAAAUUACUUACCACGAUGGUUCCAAACUCUAAUAAAGGGAAAAACCAGGAUAUUACAAACAACUCUUCAUUGUUUUCCAUAUAGGUCACCCUACUUAUUAGCAUAACCAUGGAAGAUAUUUUUCACUUUCUAGGUCUUUAUAGAAUUAUGGUUUCUUCAAAUAGAACAAGAGUAGAUCUAUUCUGUUCCGAACUAGCAAGCAACCACAUGCAACUUAUCUCUAAAUGCCAACAAAGCUCCUAAAUGAUAGCUGCUAGAUACCGUACGGCUCUUACAUAACUUCAGCUUCAACAUGAUUAAAGUAAAUUUCAUUUAAUAAAAGCAAAAGCAAUCGGGAUGUUUUGCAAUAGGGCAAACAGAAGUAAUUUCAGCCGAGCUCGUAUUGAAAUCUAUUCAGGAAUCUUACAGUAGUCAGGUAAAAAGGCAUGUUGCAAUUUGAAUUAUUACAGUCCGUUGUAGGCCUAAAUAGAUGGCAUAGUUUAAAUUAACCAAACACCGGUUAAUGAUCACUUACGUAAAGCAAUCCGAAAGAGAACCUGCCCUAAGACCAAUCAUAAAUGAUUCAUGGGUACCUAUUUUAAGCUACUGUAUAAUCAAUACUCAUUCACUUGAGACAACUUUUAUUGAAGGGAGAUGUUAGGUGUGUAGGAAAAUGAGAGUUAGCCAAUGCAUAGAUAGUGACAAUACAACAAAUUACAUGAAUCGCAACCACCAUUAAAGGAGAUAAAAAUAUACUACAGAAAAACACAACCAAGUAAUUUGAAAGAUACAUUAAAAGCUUAAAUUAUCUUGAAAAAAGAGAUUAAAAAGAGUCUGCCAAAACGUCAAACUUGAAUCAGCAUAAACUAGAAAUCGAAAACCAAAAUUAAUAUCAUGGGAAUCCAAGCAUAACUUAGUCAGACAUUUCGAAAACUAACAUUGCCAUAUACCCCAUAAGGAAACUUAGAGAAGGUGAAUUGAAUAAUCAACAGGUCGAUAUGAAAAAUUUGUCUACUUUUCAGAAUUUGAUCAUAUGUAUAGGCCAUGACAUUGAAGAACAAGCUUCCAUUUCCAGAUUAGAAUAUCAAAUACUUCCAAAGUAACAAGAAAAUGCCCUGUGAAAAUACCCAGCAAAAGCUAAUUUUCUUAAGGAACAAACUUCAAUGAAUAUCCAUAACAAAAUUAGUAGUACAUUAAAACAACUCACAUAUUUUCUAAAGCAUUUUCUUUUCAAUCCUUUAAGAAAGAUAAUUCCAACCAUAAACCAUGCUAUCACACAAGUGAAUUGCUUAAAUGGUAUUCAAUUCAUCAAUCAAACAUAAAACAAAAAGGCUCAAAACCAGCUUCCACCAAAACCCAUCAAAUGAGACAGCGACAAAAUGAUAAAGUGAAGUGUACAAUUCUAAUCAGUAAAAAAAAAUCUUGCCCAAAAUGAUAACGAAAUAAACUUUUGAUCAGCAACAAAAUCGAUAUCGAUUCUUUAAGAAAAAACAAAAAGGAAAAACAUUAAAAACCCAGAACAAAAGAACCCAUAAAAUAUAUGAAUCACAACAACCCAAAGCUCGUAUCCAUUGAAAAGAAAAGUAAAUUUAAUCAGACAACAAAAAUUAAACAUUUUUAUAACAAAUUUAAACAGGAAAUGAAAGAGAAAAAAAACCAAAAAAGAUUUGCUUACCGACAUGAAUUCUUGACAGAGAGAAACUUUUUAUUGUGAUGGAAAAAAGAGAGAUAUGGGAAAUUAGAGAGAGAGAAAAUGAGAGUUUUUUAGAGAGAGAUUGAAAGAUAUUCAAUAGAAUGGAAUGGAAUUUUGGGGAGGAAAAUGUGAAAGAGAAAAAGAGACUGGUCGGAGAGGGGAUAACCAGCGUUAGUUUUAACGGAUAAACGGGGAGGGGGAAUUGGUGGAAUUGAACCGGAGGCGUAGAUGACACCGUUAAAUAUAACGGAACGAUAAGAUGAGCUGGCAGACGGCUUGAUGAUAGAUUGUUGGGUUUUUUAAGACUAAAUAAAUUAAUAAAUAAAUUUGUAUUUAUAUUUUUUUCUAAAUAACCCUAAAUAAAUGGUUAAUUUUAUUGGUUAGCUUAAAAAUAUUGACUCGAUGAGAUCGGAUAAAAAAAAUAAGAUAUGUUUAGAAAAUGAGCUAAGCCUCGAGUAAAAUAUUUUGGUCUGAGUCUGGUCCGACCUAAAUUUGUAAAAAAGAAAAACUGUUAUUUUGCUGCUGUUUUUUCAUUGUUAUGCUGCUAUUAUUUUGUUGUUAUUGUUUAAAUAUUAUAGAACUCUUGUUUUGUUGUUAAAUUUGUUAUUAUUUUACAGGCAUUUACUUGUUAUUGUUAAUUUUGUUAUUGUUUAAACAUUUAUUUUAAUAUUUUUAGUGUUUUUGAUAUAUUAUAUUUUUUAGUUUUUUAUAUAAAAAAAUAAAAUAAAAAUUUUAAUACGAAUUAGGCCGAGAUUUAACAUCUAUAAUUUGAGUCGAACUUGAGUAAAUUUUAAUCCUAUUUUUUAGGUCGGACAGGACUCGAGCCUAGAAUUUUAUUAGAGCCAAUUUCGAAGUUAACUUGACCUAUUGACAGAUCUAAUAAAAUUAGUAUCAGAACUCAGUCACUUGUAUUUUUAAAGAAAUCUUAUAUAAUUGAAUAGUAUAUCACAUUAUCUUCAUUAUGGUAAUUUAUUCUAUUUUUACACCAUUAAUUUAUACAUUAAAGAUGAAGAUAGAAAGAAUUAUAAUUAAUAUUUAAAUGUAGUUUUAUUUUACGGUUAAAUGUAAAAUUAGUACCUAAAUUUAUCUAUUUUUAUUAGAUUGAUAUCUAAAUUUUUUUUCUAGAUUAGUAUCUAAAAUGUUUUUUCAUCCGUUAAUUUGGUACUGAGUUUAAUGAUAUUAAAAUUUUACUGACGUGGUAGCACUGAAUACUAAUGUGCCGUGUCACACUUCUAAAACCCUUUUGUAUUUUUUAAUAAAAAAAUUUAAAAAAAAAAAAAAAAGGAAACUAUUGAGAUUGCCCAAAUUCAAAGCUUUUUCCCCAGAAAAUAUCGACUGCAACUUCGAUUCUUCUUCUUCUUCGUCAAAUUUUCAAUCUUUUUUUUUGUUUUGCUUUUUGGUUGUGAAUUUAAUCAUUCCUUCUUGAUUUAAAUCCUCCCUUUUUAUUUUUCUUAUUCUUUUUGGUUUAAAUCGAAACCCUAGACCCAAAAUCAAAACCCCUAUUUCUCUUCCCUUCCCUUAAUCUCUCACCACCUCCUCUCUCUCUCAGAUUUUUCUUCGUUUCUUUCUAUAUCUUUGGGGUUUUAAUUUCUUCUUCAUCUUAUGUUGUUUUAUCUAUUAUAUCUAGCUAGGGUUUUUUCUUCUUUUUUUGUUAUGUCAAUUUUUGUAAAUAUGGAUCAACCCAAUGGCAAACUUCAUAACAACUUCUCCUUACCUCAAUUUCCUCUUUUCUUUUUCAAUUUCCUCAUGUCGAGUAACUUUGUAUUGUGUCUUAUUGAUGAGCGUAUUCGAGUAUUUAUACCUGUUAUUAUAGCUCAUAGUAUGACUCCACUCUCUUAUCUUGACUCCACCAUUUUUAAUACUAACAUUCCGUGUGGAUCUCAGACUUGCUGAAUUCGUGUUUCACUUUAAGUUGUUUGUGGAGUACGCAGUCCUUUCUAUUAUUAGCAUUGACAUUUCGUGCGAGCUCCAAGUCUUCUGGACAUGUGUUUCACUCUAGGUUGCUUACGGUACACGUGGUCUCCCUUGCGCGAGCUCAUUGGACGCAUGCAAACUGGGGCCGUGACAUUCGUUUGGCUCAUGUGAACUAAACCUGCGAGCUUAGCUUGCGAGUUGGGUCCUCGAACUCCCCUUGAUGUCCUCUCACGGUUCACCUCGCCCUUUGUCAUUUGACUAGGCUUAUCUGGAUCAUGAGUGGGUGACCUGGAUCCUAUCUAAGACUCAGAUUGGUGAUCACAAUUGUGUAACACCCUUUUCACUUAAUUAGCUUGAUUUUAUGAUGCGAAAAGAUGAUGAAUUUUGCUUUGAAAGUUCAAAUCUUUAUUAUUUUUCCUUCUUGGGUACCAAACGGGUCUUUACUGUUAACCCCCACUAGCUUUACUGUAUUUGCUUGAUUACUUGUUUAUCUUAAACAAAACAAAGGUUUUUUUUUUUAUGUUUCUUGCAUUUGAUGGUUAUGAAGCUAUAUGUUAUCCUGGU
This 5935-nucleotide long non-coding RNA is filed under the name Gossypium barbadense (sea-island cotton). RNAcentral's name for it is "long non-coding RNA (GBAR_LNC010868)". Lineage: Eukaryota; Viridiplantae; Streptophyta; Magnoliopsida; Malvales; Malvaceae. The record is from RNAcentral.